Long non-coding RNA from Nerophis ophidion (straightnose pipefish), 2360 nucleotides. RefSeq lists it as uncharacterized. The transcript has 5 exons. Lineage: Eukaryota; Metazoa; Chordata; Actinopteri; Syngnathiformes; Syngnathidae. The record is from RefSeq and is a predicted model, not a curated record.
AGAGUUAGAGGGACUAUUGUUCUAGAACAGUGGUUCUCAAAUGGGGGUACGCGUACCCCAGGGGGUAUUUGAAGGUAUGCCAAGGGGUACGUGAGAUUUUUUUUUUAAAUAUUCUAAAAAUAGCAACAAUUCAAAGAUACUUUAUAAAUACAUUUAUUGAAUAAUACUUCAACAAAAUAUGAAUGUACUGUAAGUUCAUAAACUGUGAAAAGAAACGCAACAAUGCAAUAUUCGGUGUUGACAGCUGGAUUUUUUUGUGGACAUGUUCCAUAAAUAUUGAUGUUAAAGGUUUCUUUUUUUGUGAAGGAAUAUUUAGAAAUCCAGAUGGAUCUCUAUUACAAUCCCCAAAGAGGGAACUUUAAGUUGAUGAUUACUUCUAUGUGUAGAGAUUUUUAUUUAUAAUUAUAUCACUUGUUUAUUUUUCAACACGUUUUUAGUUAUAUUUACAUCUUUUUUUUUCUUCAAAUAGUUCAAGAAAGACCACUACAAUUGUGCAAUAUUUUGCACUGUUAUACAGUCUAAUAAAUCAAAAACUGAUGACAUAGUGCUGUAUUUUACUUCUUUAUCUCUUUUUUUCAACCAAAAAUGCUUUGCUCUGAUUAGGGGGUACUUGAAUUUAAAAAAAAAAAUGUUCACAGGGGGUACAUCACUGAAAAAAGGUUGAGAACCACUGUUCUAGAACAUUCCAUUAAAAUGUAGAGCAUUGAGGAUUUAGCACUUUUUUUGUGUCAAUUCCAGCAAAAAAGACACCCAUUCAACAAAUAUUUACCUCAAAAAUGUGCCGUUUCUGAAUCAUGUCGUCUUUUACCGUAUUUGUCCAUGAACGAGUGCAGAAAAAUGGAUCCAAAGUUGUGCUUUCAUGAGGACCACCGGGUCCCCCGAAUGUUCACAAACAGUACUAAUAAUCAUAGAAAUAUCUCCGUAGUUGUGCUUGGAGGACCAGCAGACAGUCUUGGGGGCCCUCGGAGUCCUCACUUCUUCUCCAGUGCGUCCUUGUUGGAGCAGUGAGGGUGCUUGUCGGACACCUUGGAGGCCGUGUUGGGACUGGAGCUGUCGCUUCCUCUCCCGCUCGCCUCCCCCGGAGCCGUGGGGGCCGCCGAGGGCCUCGCCAUGUUGGCCCCCGUCAGGACCCCCACGUUGGCGGACGCGGCGCCGAGCAGGUUGGCGGACUGCAGCACGGCCUCGGAGUGCUCGCGGGCCUUCAUGCGCAGGGCGGCCACGCUGGCCGUGCGGUUGCCCUGGCAACCGUAGGGCGGCAGGAAGGAUAAGCCCAUGGGGUCCGGAACGCAGCAGGAACACAAGGCGUUACCUGCGUGGCGACCUGAGAGAGGGCCUGAGCGUAGGUGGCCGAGUUGAGGAGGGUCCCUGGCAGGCAGGACGGGAAGAAGGGACCCCCGGGACCCACCGGUCUGUUCAUGCUGACCAAGCUCCAGCGGCUCUUUCUGCUUCCUGGCCUGCUCGGCGGGCGACUGAGGGUUGAUGCCGCGAGUCGGAGGAGCGCCUUCGCUUAUCUGCUCUUUCCCUCCUUCUGAGUCGGCGCCGCCUCGCUCCGUCUUUCUCCACUUGGCCCUGCGGUUCUGAAACCACACCUGCACGGCACAGUUUUUACCUGUUGCAAGGUGAACGUGGUCCUGUUCCUGCGCUGUUUCCUUCGCAGGAAGCCGUCGUCAAAAUCCGCCGGGGCGUGGUUGGCGAAAGUGCUCGAAGUCACUGCAGAUUAGUUUCACAGCCGUUCAUUCACCAGGAACAUUCUGCUCUGUAGAAAUACCUGUCUGGACUGCGUGAAGAGCAGCACUCGCUGACCCUGCUUGAACCAAAGGCGCAGCAGCGACUCCACCACGAUUAGUUUGCCCGAGCGUUUCCAGUAGCCAAAGUGCUCCUCUUCUGUCAGCGCCUCCUCUGGGAUCCCCCUCAGCAGCCGGGGGCCGCCGGAGAAAAGAUCUGGGUGGUUGCAAAUCUUACGCAACGCUAUCAAGCCUGAGAAAACCUGAACAGGGCAAAGAACAAAACAAGGGGAUUUGUUUUCAUAUGUGGACUACAUUACAUUUUACAAAUGGGACCUAUGAUGCAUUUUGUUUUUUCUGAUUUAUCAAUGUUUUUACAAUUUUGGAUACUUGUGUUAAACAAUGCCCAAACUUUAAAUCAUAUGGUUCAUGCAUGUUGGCGUGUGCAUGCACACAGUUUUGGAUGCCUCGGUCUGAGGGGUUUUGCAGUCUGGCUAUGUUGUGAUGUCACAGUGAGGUGGACACACUUAUUUAGACAAGCUCUUAACUAGGCUGUGAGGAAACCUCCAAAAUUAUGAUAAAGUAUUAUUGCCAUCUAUUUUUGGCAUGUAAAUAAUAACUCGAUGUGCGACAUGA